This 253-nucleotide ribosomal RNA is filed under the name uncultured bacterium. Its description in RNAcentral is "partial 16S ribosomal RNA". It matches the Rfam family "Bacterial small subunit ribosomal RNA", at positions 524 to 776 of the family's 1533-position model. The record is from RNAcentral.
UACGUAGGUGGCAAGCGUUGUCCGGAAUCACUGGGCGUAAAGGGCGCGUAGGCGGUGCGGUAAGUCACUUGUGAAAUCUCUGAGCUUAACUCAGAACGGCCAAGUGAUACUGCAGUACUAGAGUGCAGAAGGGGCAAUCAGAAUUCUUGGUGUAGCGGUGAAAUGCGUAGAUAUCAAGAGGAAUACCUGAGGUGAAGACGGGUUGCUAGGCUGACACUGACGCUGAUGCGCGAAAGCUAGGGGAGCAAACGGG